AAAAAGAGAGGAGCAGAGAGGCAGGCUUUGCCUUUUCUGGUAGUUAAAGUCGCUGAAAGAACAAGCAGGAAUUCUUUGUGCUGCAGAAGGGCUGAGAUAUAAACCAGACAGUAGAAGCUGAUAUAUGACAGGAGGCAACACAUUGUUGCCAAUGGACUAAACUUUAGCUACUGCUAAGUGAGGAAGAGAGGGGAAUCUUUUGGGCAUCAUGGACGAUGACUUUGACCGCCGCAUGGAGCUGAGGAGGCAGAGGAGAGAGCAGAUGCGCCUGGAAACUGAAAAGGGAGGUUUCGCCAAUGACGAUGACGAGGAGGAAGCUCGGGAGCGAAGGAGGCGUGCGAGGGAGGAGCGGAAGAAGAUGAGAGAUUUAGAGGAAUCUGGAACCACUGAUGUGAUCAAUACUAACAGCGUGACGGAGACCGAAUCCUCCACGGCCGGUACUGAAGGAGCAGAUGAUGACCAGGCUUUGCUGGAGCGCCUGGCCAAGAGAGAGGAGCGCCGGCAGAAGAGGAUGCAGGAGGCCAUAGAGAGACAGAAGGAACUCGACCCCACAGUUGGCACCACCAACGGUACGGAGGAGGCGGAGGAUCAGACCUCCAUCGACAGCAGCAGACAGCAACAUACAGAGGAUGAGGAGGACAAAAAGGAGGAGAAAUCUGCCGAGGAGGAGGUAGCAGACGCUGAUACCAACUCAUGGAGGAAGGACGAAGAAGAUAAGAAGGAGGAUGAGAAGGAAUCUGUUGAAGAAUCAACACCGACCAAAACAAAUGAAGAGGAGAUUGAGGAGAAAACUGUGGCAGCAGAGGUGGAGGAGGAAAAACCCAUUUCAGAAUACAAAGAAGCUGAAGAAGAAGCUGCUCCUGAUGUUGACAAUGAGGAAGAAGAAAGGAAGAGGAAAGAAGAAGAGGAGAGGCAGCAAAAAGAAAUGGAAGAAAAGCAGAGGAUAGAAGAGGAGGAGAGACAGCAAAGAGAAAUGGAAGAAAAGCUUAAAAAAGAGGAGGAAGAAAGGCAGCUGAGAGAGGAGGAGGAAAGGAAGAAGAGAGAAGAAGAGGAAAAACAACAAAAAGAAAUGGAAGAGCGGCUUAAAGAAGAGGAAGAAGAAAAACAGAGAAAGGAGAUGGAAGAAAAGAAGAAAAAAGAAGAGGAAGAGCAGAAACAGGAGAUGGAGGAGAGACAGAAGAGAGAAGAGGAGGAAAGGCAGAAACGGGAGAUGGAAGAGAGAUUGAAAAAGGAGGAGGAAAAAAAACUAAGAAAGGAGCAGGAGGAAAAAAAGAAGAAAGAGGAAGAGGAAAAACGAAAAAAGGAAAUAGAGGAAAAGAAGAAAAAGGAGGAGGAAGAGAAGCGAAAGAAGAAAGAGCUGGAGGAGAAGAAGAAGAAGGAGGAGGAGGAGAAACGGAAAAAAGAGAUGGAAGAAAAGAAGAAAGAAGAGGAGGAAAAGAGGAAAAAGGAGGCUGAGGAGAAGAAGAAAAAAGAGGAAGAGGAGAAACGCAAAAAGAAAGAGAUGGAAGAGAAGAAGAAGAAAGAGGAGGAGGAGAAGCCAAAGAGAUUUGGGUUUAAGGAGAAGAAUGAACCAGCAAAACAGAACGGCGCUCUCGCUGAGAAUAAAUUCAAGAAAUUGGAAAAGACAUCAAGAGACAACACCAAGGCAGAUGAUGUGGAGCGACAGGAGGCUGAGCGGAAACUGCAGGAGCUGAAGAGGCGACGAAACAACGCAGAAAGUGAGGAGUUUGAGAAGAUGAAGCAGAAACAGCAGGACGCAGAGGCCGAGCUGGAGGAGCUGAAGAGGAAGAGAGAGGAGAGGAGGAAGAUCCUGGAGGAGGAGGAGAAACAGAAGAAACAGGAGCAGGACGACAAGAAAGCCAAAGAGCAGGAGGAGAGGAAGAGGAUGAAGGAGGAGAUUGAGAAGAGGAGGGCUGAGGCUGCAGAGAAGAAGAAACAGAAGGAGGAAGAGUCCACAUCAACUGCUUUUGCUAUCAGUCCUAAAGGCUCCUCUAAGAUCGGUGAGAAGGCAGAAUUCCUGAGCAAAUCAGCCCAGAAAAGCACCACACCCAGAGUUUCACACACUCCAAUUGUCUCCAGGAUUGGCAACAGAUUGGAACAGUACAACACUGCCAUCCAGGGAAACAAAGAUGUAAAAUCCCCAAAGUCUCCGAUGGCAGAUAUUCCUAGUGGAGGCACACGUAGCAUCAAAAGCAUGUGGGAGAAAGGAAACAUCGGAAGUCCCUCUGAAAGUCCAGCUCCUCCAAACAAGGAUUUGGCUGGAAUCAAAGGAGGUGUGUCUGGACGAGUCAACAGUUGGAUGGCGAAGCCUGCAGAGGUGGAGAAGACAUCAGCACCAACACCUGCAGCAGCAGCAGCAGCAGCAUCACCAGCAGCAGCAGCAAAGCCAGCAGAUGUGAAACCAAGUGACAUCGGUAGCAAGCGUGGCAUGUGGGAAACCAAGAAGGCCUCUACGCCUGGCAAGUUCAAAUAGAUGGAUGAAUUCAUGGAGGUAAUUUGUGGAUCUGUGAGAACAACACCGAAUGCACGUUUCACCAGGUGGCAAUUGGAAGCAAGUUUGUCACUAAUGCAGGCAUCCGACGCUAACUGUUGACAUCCCUGUUAAAUCAAGUCCUACCUGAGCAAACACAGGGCUCUGCUACUGUUUGUGCAUCUGUUCAACUUCACCACACCUGCAUUUCGCUUGAGGAUCACACCUGAAUAAGGAAAAGAGGAGGGUCUUUAUCUUCACAGUAUGAGUAACUUUACACCACUGCCGACUUAAGAUUAGCCAACCUUUGAGAUGGUCCCUCAAAAAUGAAAAGAUAUUGAUGUGCUUUUAGCAUCUUUCACUUGAUUUUUGGCUCAAAGAUUUUCAAAGAACACCCAGUCGGAGUCUUUUUGGAUACUUUGCUUUCAACCCACACCAACAUGUUCGUUGUUCUUAUAAUGUAUUUGAUGGUAAUGCCAUAUAGCUUUUACGAAGUAAUACGCAUUUUUGCUUUGUGGUUACUUAUACUCACUGCUUUUUGUGAUGACAGUCACAGUUUUGAGACCGUAGAAAGUAUCCGACCACUCAGCAAUACGCUGGGUGAUAAGCAUGUACAUAAUUUUGUUUCAUGAGGUGGUACCACUUUCUGCUAAGAAGCUCUUCAUAAAGGGUUUAUAAAUAAUAAAAAAUAACUAUUCCAGUGGUUAAUGUAUCCUGUAUUAUCGCUUUAUAGAUCAGUUAGAAGCCAUCAAUGAGAACAGCUUUUGGAGUAAAGGAACUCCUCUGGCCUGUGUUCAUACUUUUGGUACCACUUUUUAAUAAGGAAUCAUUGUGCUCAAUGACUUCAGGCUUAAUUAUUCACCGACUAUAGCAUGAUAGAUGAAAUAAUAAGCACAAUACUAAAGUUGCCAGAGGACAGCAGAAUAGACCAAUUGGUUUUUCACUUCAAGAAGGAAACGUCAACAUCUUCUGGAUGGAUUGCAAUGAAAGUUUGUACAAGUAUCUACGUUCACCACAAGACACUUAGAAAUAAUUUAAGUUAUUCUAUGACUUCCAUGUAGUGUCAUCACCAGGUCAAUAUCUAAAUGUGUCUAAGACUUUGGUUGAACUGCAAAAACCUGCAUAGCUAAUGAUUUUCCUGUGAUGCUUUAGCUUAUUGCAAAGGAAAUGUCAGCAUACCAACAGGCUAAACCAAAAUGGAAAACAUGUUAAUGUCAUAUCUGCUAAACAUCACCAUAUCUGUGGUCCUGUGUUGCAUGACAUUAGCAUUUAGCUCAAAACACAUACACUUAUCCCCUUAUAAGCUUUGGCCAAAGUCCAUUUAUCAACAUCUAACUAACUUUAACAUCUGAGUGGAUAAUUGAGUCUUUAAUGGGGUUUUAGCAUUUAUAGCUUCAGACAUGAUGUCUUAUUGAGAGAUGAGUCCCAUUAGUUGCUAAGUUUAUAAAGCCUUUAUGAAGAGGGUAGUAUUACAAGGUGGUACUAAAGAGUCAACCUCAGACCAGAAGAUACUAUCAGUGGCACAUUCUGCUCAGGACUGCAGCCAAAGAACAACAGUGUGCAACAUUUCUGUGAAAAACACCUGAGUUUGUUACCUUCUGGCCUUGUAUCAGUAAAAAAAAAAAUCACAUUUUUUUUGUAAUAUAAACACCAUCAAAGUCCAUUAAUACUUGUUCAUGCAAUUAUCUACUGCAACAAAUAUCCAGUGACCAAAUCUAUUCAACAAGCAGGGUUAGGGUUAGUCUGACAUCUUCCUUAUCUAUCUCUCAUUUACAAGCCACUCAUUUUUUCAGUUCUAUUUGCAUUGCAGUAACAGUGAAGGUUUUCAAUUGCAUUUUUCAGUCUGUUUUAUCAAAGCCUGUAAUUCAGUGUGUCUGUCAGCAGUGCACUUGAGUGGAUUCCUGCUAGAAUGUAUUGUGAGUCUUUCAUUAUUGUUGUAGUGGUUUGAUCUGUUUGAAAUUAUUGUUUGUACGGCUUCAGCAAUAAAAAAAAAUUAAAAAACAGAAAAACAGUU
RNA transcript from Amphiprion ocellaris (clown anemonefish), 4484 nucleotides. It is a transcript of the gene named caldesmon 1b, with no coding region annotated. The record is from RefSeq and is a predicted model, not a curated record. NCBI's taxonomy places the organism in Eukaryota, Metazoa, Chordata, Actinopteri, Pomacentridae. The transcript has 18 exons.